GAUCAUGGCUCAGGAUGAACGCUAGCUACAGGCUUAACACAUGCAAGUCGAGGGGAAACGACAUCGAAAGCUUGCUUUUGAUGGGCGUCGACCGGCGCACGGGUGAGUAACGCGUAUCCAACCUGCCCAUCACUUGGGAAUAACCUUGCGAAAGUAAGACUAAUACCCAAUGAUAUCCCACGAAGGCAUCCGAAUGGGAUUAAAGAUUUAUCGGUGAUGGAUGGGGAUGCGUCUGACUUAG
This 241-nucleotide ribosomal RNA is filed under the name uncultured bacterium. RNAcentral describes it as "partial 16S ribosomal RNA". It matches the Rfam family "Bacterial small subunit ribosomal RNA", at positions 15 to 244 of the family's 1533-position model. The record is from RNAcentral.